This 354-nucleotide ribosomal RNA is filed under the name Cytobacillus firmus. RNAcentral's name for it is "bacterial SSU rRNA". It matches the Rfam family "Bacterial small subunit ribosomal RNA", at positions 1 to 342 of the family's 1533-position model. The record is from RNAcentral. Lineage: Bacteria; Bacillati; Bacillota; Bacilli; Caryophanales; Bacillaceae.
UUAUAUGGAGAGUUUGAUCCUGGCUCAGGACGAACGCUGGCGGCGUGCCUAAUACAUGCAAGUCGAGCGGACGGAUGGGAGCUUGCUCCCAGACCGUCAGCGGCGGACGGGUGAGUAACACGUGGGCAACCUGCCUGUAAGACUGGGAUAACUCCGGGAAACCGGGGCUAAUACCGGAUAAUUCUUUUCCUCACAUGAGGAAAAGCUGAAAGAUGGCAUCUCGCUAUCACUUACAGAUGGGCCCGCGGCGCAUUAGCUAGUUGGUGAGGUAACGGCUCACCAAGGCAACGAUGCGUAGCCGACCUGAGAGGGUGAUCGGCCACACUGGGACUGAGACACGGCCCAGACUCCUAC